GGGCACGGUGGUGCAUGCCUAUAGUCUCAGCUACCCAGGAAACUGAGACAGGAGGAUUGCUUGAGUCCAGGAGUUCUGGGCUGCAGUGUGCUAUGCUGAUUGGGUGUCUAUAUUAAAGUCGUCAUCAAUAUGAUGAUCUUCUGAGAGCAGAGGACCACCAGGUUGCCUAAGGAGGGGUGAACCGGCCCAGGUUGGAAAAAAAAAACAAAAAAAGACAAGCUGUUGAGAUGGCUCAGUGGAUAAAGGCACAUUUUUCUUUAUUGUAAAGUCUGGGGACAUAAAUUCCAUCCUU
This 292-nucleotide signal recognition particle RNA is filed under the name Microtus ochrogaster (prairie vole). Its description in RNAcentral is "Metazoan signal recognition particle RNA (ENSMOCG00000012167.1)". It matches the Rfam family "Metazoan signal recognition particle RNA". Rfam says of the family: The signal recognition particle (SRP) is a universally conserved ribonucleoprotein. It is involved in the co-translational targeting of proteins to membranes. The record is from RNAcentral. Lineage: Eukaryota; Metazoa; Chordata; Mammalia; Rodentia; Cricetidae.